GACGAACGCUGGCGGCGUGCUUAACACAUGCAAGUCGAACGGAAAGGCCCUGCUUUUGUGGGGUGCUCGAGUGGCGAACGGGUGAGUAACACGUGAGUAACCUGCCCUUGACUUUGGGAUAACUUCAGGAAACUGGGGCUAAUACCGGAUAGGAGCUCCUGCUGCAUGGUGGGGGUUGGAAAGUUUCGGCGGUUGGGGAUGGACUCGCGGCUUAUCAGCUUGUUGGUGGGGUAGUGGCUUACCAAGGCUUUGGCGGGUAGCCGGCCUGAGAGGGUGACCGGCCACGUGGGGACUGUGAUACCGACCAGACUCCUACGGGAGGCAGCGGUGGAGAAUAUUGCACAAUGGGCGGAAGCCUGAUGCAGCAACGCCGCGUGCGGGAUGACGGCCUGCGGGUUGUAAACCGCUUUCGACUGUGACGAAGCGUGAGUGACGGUAAUGGGUAAAGAAGCACCGGCUAACUACGUG
This 468-nucleotide ribosomal RNA is filed under the name uncultured bacterium. RNAcentral's name for it is "partial 16S ribosomal RNA". It matches the Rfam family "Bacterial small subunit ribosomal RNA", at positions 28 to 507 of the family's 1533-position model. The record is from RNAcentral.